Molecule: ribosomal RNA, 730 nt
Filed under: uncultured bacterium
Lineage: Bacteria
Description: bacterial SSU rRNA
Rfam family: Bacterial small subunit ribosomal RNA
Source: RNAcentral
AACAGGAUUAGAUACCCUGGUAGUCCACGCCGUAAGCGAUGUCGACCAGCCGUUGGGUGCCUUGAGCACUUAGUGGCGCAGUUAACGCGAUAAGUCGACCGCCUGGGGAGUACGGCCGCAAGGUUAAAACUCAAAUGAAUUGACGGGGGCCCGCACAAGCGGUGGAGCAUGUGGUUUAAUUCGAUGCAACGCGAAGAACCUUACCUACCCUUGACAUCCUCGGAACCCUCUGGAGACAGAGGGGUGCCUUCGGGAACCGAGAGACAGGUGCUGCAUGGCUGUCGUCAGCUCGUGUUGUGAAAUGUUGGGUUAAGUCCCGUAACGAGCGCAACCCCUGUCCCUAUUUGCCAGCACGUGAUGGUGGGAACUCUAGGGAGACUGCCGGUGACAAACCGGAGGAAGGUGGGGACGACGUCAAGUCAUCAUGGCCCUUACGGGUAGGGCUACACACGUGCUACAAUGGCCGGUACAAAGGGAUGCAAGACGGCGACGUGGAGCGAAUCCCAGAAAGCCGGCCUCAGUUCGGAUCGGAGUCUGCAACUCGACUCCGUGAAGUCGGAAUCGCUAGUAAUCGUGAAUCAGAAUGUCACGGUGAAUACGUUCCCGGGCCUUGUACACACCGCCCGUCACACCAUGGGAGUGGACUGCACCAGAAGUGGUUAGCCUAACUUCGGAGGGCGAUCACCACGGUGUGGUUCAUGACUGGGGGUGAAGUCGUAACAAGGUAACC